GGUGGUUCUCAGGUGACACACCCCAGAAUUGGGCUCCCUUCUCUCUGGUUCCGGGUGCAUCACCUGAGAACCACA
Myotis brandtii (Brandt's bat) is the source of this 75-nucleotide non-coding RNA. NCBI's taxonomy places the organism in Eukaryota, Metazoa, Chordata, Mammalia, Chiroptera, Vespertilionidae. The record is from Rfam.